Molecule: non-coding RNA, 78 nt
Organism: Schistosoma mansoni
Lineage: Eukaryota; Metazoa; Platyhelminthes; Trematoda; Strigeidida; Schistosomatidae
Source: Rfam
AACUUUCUAAAUUCGUACCGAGAUAUCAUCAUACAUUAGUCCAUCAAAGCUGAUGAGACUUCCAAGAUAAGUGAAGUA